AUGGUGGAUGCUAAGGGAAACACCGUGCUGCAUAUAACAACCCGGCAGGGUCAUUUACAGGAUGAUGUUGAUUGGGAAAAGUUAGGAGUGAAAGAGGUCUUAGAAAUAGCUUAUGUACCCGGGCUUGAUGUUUCUGUCGCUGUUGCUCAUGAAGUGUCUGUUACAACUUUCGGUUCAGGAGUUUCACCUACAAAAAUAUAUAUCACAGAGCGUAUGUACAUGGUCUGA
Molecule: non-coding RNA, 228 nt
Organism: Vicia faba (fava bean)
Lineage: Eukaryota; Viridiplantae; Streptophyta; Magnoliopsida; Fabales; Fabaceae
Source: the annotation of a GenBank genome assembly